UGGGGAAUCUUGCACAAUGGGCGAAAGCCUGAUGCAGCGACGCCGCGUGCGGGACGAAGGCCUUCGGGUUGUAAACCGCUUUCAGCAGGGACGAGGCGAUAAGUGACGGUACCUGCAGAAGAAGCCCCGGCUAACUACGUGCCAGCAGCCGCGGUAAUACGUAGGGGGCAAGCGUUAUCCGGAUUCAUUGGGCGUAAAGCGCUCGUAGGCGGUCUGUUAGGUCGGGAGUUAAAUCCGGAGGCUCAACCUCCGUUCGCUCCCGAUACCGGCAGACUUGAGUUUGGUAGGGGAAGGUGGAAUUCCUAGUGUAGCGGUGGAAUGCGCAGAUAUUAGGAAGAACACCAGUGGCGAAGGCGGCCUUCUGGGCCAUAACUGACGCUGAGGAGCGAAAGCUAGGGGAGCAAACAGGAUUAGAUACCCUGGUAGUCCUAGCUGUAAACGAUGGACACUAGGUGUGGGAGAAUACGUCUUCCGUGCCGCAGCUAACGCAUUAAGUGUCCCGCCUGGGGAGUACGGCCGCAAGGCUA
Molecule: ribosomal RNA, 527 nt
Filed under: uncultured bacterium
Lineage: Bacteria
Description: bacterial SSU rRNA
Rfam family: Bacterial small subunit ribosomal RNA
Source: RNAcentral